RNAcentral lists this ribosomal RNA (305 nucleotides) under uncultured bacterium. RNAcentral describes it as "bacterial SSU rRNA". It matches the Rfam family "Bacterial small subunit ribosomal RNA", at positions 335 to 657 of the family's 1533-position model. The record is from RNAcentral.
UGUCCUACGGGAGGCAGCAGUGGGGAGUAUUGCACAAUGGGGGAAACCCUGAUGCAGCGACGCCGCGUGAGUGAAGAAGUAUUUCGGUAUGUAAAGCUCUAUCAGCAGGGAAGAAAAUGACGGUACCUGACUAAGAAGCCCCGGCUAACUACGUGCCAGCAGCCGCGGUAAUACGUAGGGGGCAAGCGUUAUCCGGAUUUACUGGGUGUAAAGGGAGCGUAGACGGCCGUGCAAGUCUGAUGUGAAAACCCGGGGCUCAACCCCGGGACUGCAUUGGAAACUGCAUGGCUGGAGUGUCGGAGAGG